This is a long non-coding RNA of Physella acuta, 1378 nucleotides long. RefSeq lists it as uncharacterized. The record is from RefSeq and is a predicted model, not a curated record. NCBI's taxonomy places the organism in Eukaryota, Metazoa, Mollusca, Gastropoda, Physidae.
GUAGGCCAAUAAACAGUUGUAUGGCUCAUGCAGGUUUUAUUGAGCCGUAUAACUGUUUGGUGACCUACCUAUCAGCCCUACAUGUUUAUAUAACGUGAAAACCCGCCAUUUUUCUCGUGGUUCUCUCAACAUGGAGACAGGAAUAAGACAGACACAGGGACAAAGAUACCAACAAUGUUCUAGAACACUGCAAUCAACUGAUUUACAACCCUCUGUACUCUGUAUUCAAGUGGCUAGAGUACUACCAUCGAACCUGGAUUAAUAAAACAGUGAAAUCUUGCUGGAAGGUGCUAUCAUAGUAUAACUGGAUUUACCAGCCUGAGGGUUAAGGCGUCUCUUCAAGAUGGAUGUUAGAACAUCACAGAUGGUUAUUUUUUCAGGUCACCUGAUGUUCAGUUUGCUACACAGCCAUUCAUUAUUGAAAGUCUCAGAACCAUAGAGGAGAACAAAUUUUACAUUGCUGUUCAACAGUCAUAUUUGGAAAACUGUAGACAGCUCUUGACAUCCAUAUUGUGCGGAGGAUGUUGGAUACUUUGCUGAUAUGUCUUUUGAUGUCCUCAUCUGCUCCCCCAUCUUCUUACAACAGAUCCUAAAUGUGUCAAGUGAUCCUGCUCCAAAAUAGUCAUUUCUUGUAUCCUAAGUGGAACUCCUGUUUGUUGUUGAUUCUUAUCUCUUCUGUUUUUUCCAGUUGAUCAUUAAGCCUAUAUUAAGAAGGUUCAUCAUAGUUUGCUUAGCGUGGAUUGGGCAUGUUGUCAAUGUGAGAGUAUAGCAUCCUCAAUAUCUAGACGUCCAGCUAAGUGAGGGUCCACUGUAUUUGAACCUUUUGGUCUGAUGUACUUUAUUGGUGAAAAGCUUAUAAUAUUUCUGUACUCACUGAAAAAGGGCUGGUUAACUAGUGGAUAAUCUGGCAGUUGGAGUCUUUGUAGAGGUGUUGGAUAAUAUUGCUGAAUUUCUUAGCGAUUGAAUGUGCAAAUUCAAUUUUUUCACCAGGUUGGCUUUCAUGUAGAGAUAUUCUGCUACGCAGUAUUUGUUUAUAAAUAUGUGUAUCUAUAUAUAUAUAUAUAUAUAUAUAUAUAUAUAUAUAUAUAUAUAUAUAUAUAUAUAUAUAUAUAUAUAUGCAUAUAUUUAUGUUUGUGUGUGAAACUAAGGUCUAGUUACACACAGUCAUAUAAUAUUAAAAACUUGUUAGAUUAAGAUGUGGAUUAGAGAUAGUCUCUUGCCAUCAAAUUUUUAUUUAUCGUGGAGGUUGUAUGUAUUGAUUCCAUUUUGUCUAGUUAUUGAGCAUACUGAAAUCUGAUAAUAUUGAUUUAUUAUCUAUCUACUUACUUGUCCACUUGUAACCUAUAUGAUCUAUUACUUAAUUGUAGCAUCAAAAGUA